This 245-nucleotide ribosomal RNA is filed under the name uncultured bacterium. RNAcentral's name for it is "partial 16S ribosomal RNA". It matches the Rfam family "Bacterial small subunit ribosomal RNA", at positions 524 to 768 of the family's 1533-position model. The record is from RNAcentral.
AACGUAGGAGCCUAGCGUUAUCCGAAUUCACUGGGCGUAAAGCGCGUGCAGGCGGCCGGCCAAGUUGGAUGUGAAAUCUCCUGGCUCAACUGGGAGAGGUCGUUCAAGACUGGCUGGCUAGAGGACGGUAGAGGGAGGUAGAAUUCCCGGUGUAGUGGUGAAAUGCGUAGAUAUCGGGAGGAAUACCAGUGGCGAAGGCGGCCUCCUGGACCGUUACUGACGCUCAGACGCGAAAGCUAGGGGAG